Molecule: ribosomal RNA, 253 nt
Filed under: uncultured bacterium
Lineage: Bacteria
Description: partial 16S ribosomal RNA
Rfam family: Bacterial small subunit ribosomal RNA
Source: RNAcentral
UACGUAGGGUGCAAGCGUUGUCCGGAAUUAUUGGGCGUAAAGAGCUUGUAGGCGGUUUGUCGCGUCUGCUGUGAAAAUCCGGGGCUCAACCCCGGACUUGCAGUGGGUACGGGCAGGCUAGAGUGUGGUAGGGGAGACUGGAAUUCCUGGUGUAGCGGUGGAAUGCGCAGAUAUCAGGAGGAACACCGAUGGCGAAGGCAGGUCUCUGGGCCACUACUGACGCUGAGAAGCGAAAGCAUGGGGAGCGAACAGG